This is a non-coding RNA of Rhinopithecus roxellana (golden snub-nosed monkey), 69 nucleotides long. The record is from Ensembl. NCBI's taxonomy places the organism in Eukaryota, Metazoa, Chordata, Mammalia, Primates, Cercopithecidae.
AUUCUUUUAGUAUAAACCAGUACGGCCGACUUCCAAUCAGCUAGUUUCGACAACAUUCGAAAAAGAAUA